Molecule: ribosomal RNA, 398 nt
Filed under: uncultured Mollicutes bacterium
Lineage: Bacteria; Bacillati; Mycoplasmatota; Mollicutes
Description: bacterial SSU rRNA
Rfam family: Bacterial small subunit ribosomal RNA
Source: RNAcentral
UUGACAUACCAUUGACAGGUCUAGAGAUAGACUCUCCUUCGGGCAAUGGAUACAGGUGGUGCAUGGUUGUCGUCAGCUCGUGCCGUGAGGUGUUGGGUUAAGUCCCGCAACGAGCGCAACCCUCAUUGUUAGUUACUACCAUUCAGUUGAGGACUCUAAUGAGACUGCCAACGACAAGUUGGAGGAAGGUGGGGAUGACGUCAAAUCAUCAUGCCCUUUAUGACCUGGGCUACAAACGUACUACAAUGGCCAAUACAAAGAGAUGCGAAGCGGUGACGUGGAGCGAACCUCAGAAAGUUGGUCUCAGUUCAGAUUGAAGUCUGCAACUCGACUUCAUGAAGGCGGAAUCGCUAGUAAUCGCGGGUCAGCAGACCGCGGUGAAUACGUUCCCGGGUUUU